This 2340-nucleotide long non-coding RNA is filed under the name Mus musculus (house mouse). RNAcentral's name for it is "long non-coding RNA chr3:141720121-141722461". Lineage: Eukaryota; Metazoa; Chordata; Mammalia; Rodentia; Muridae. The record is from RNAcentral.
GGCAUGUGCUCCAGAGGCCCAGAAGGCUAGUCAGACACAUAGUCUGUAAAAUGAUCACAAUAAUAUUAAUGGAGGUCCGACUGCUGCACUGUAUAUGUAUUAAUCAUAUGUAUAUGUUUAUGUAUAUGUAUAUGUUUAGUCAUUUCGAGGACUCUGUGAUGAGUGAGUUUAUUAUCCAUACUUUAUACACAAAGGAAAUUAAAAGAGGAGACUGAAAAAUCCGGUCUGAAAUCCUUCAGCUGGAGUAUGGGAAAGCUUGCCAAUCCAGGAGGCAAGCCUAGGCUUUAACCAACACACUGAGAUCAAAUGGCGGGGCAGGGGUGAUGAUGAUAUUUUGUUUUCACUUCUUUAGGUUUAGGUUUAGGUUUUGAUUAGGUGGAAGUUCUCAAGAUUAUCUUUUCCGUCUGAUGAAUUCCUGCAGGCUCCCUUCUAUUCACAGUAUAAAAGCACGAAGGGCCAAUGCCUUCCUAUAUUCCACCUCUUUGUGUGGUGUAUAUAACUACAGCCAUUCCUUUGUUCGUGAGGUAAUAACCUCACCUACAGACGGACAAUUUAGACAAGCCUUUCCUUCCCUUCUCAAAUCUUCUUCUUCUCAUCUACCGCCAGCUCCCCUGGUUCUUUCCAUUGCGUGUCUACUGAAAUUGCCUCUUCAGGUGGGUCUGUCAGGACCCCAGCCCUGUCAUUCUCCUAAGCACAUAUCUAUAUUCAUAGCAUUUUGAUCCUUUAUCACUUUCUUGUUCAUGUUGAUUAUCUUCACUAGUAGAACAUAAGCCCCUAAAGUUCAUCCACUUUUUGACAUUAGUUUCAUAAUCUCAGUGCCUAAAACUCUUCCUGGCAUGUAUGUGGCUGUGGUAAACAUAUGAAGAUAAAAAAAAUGCAUGAAAUGAAAUUGAAAACAUGUGGUAAAUUGAUGGAUGGUACAAUCCUGGUUUUUGUCCAUUUAGUAAAACCAAUUUCUUUUCUAAGGAAUUCAGGAGCAUCUCCAGAAAAGGACUGUUUCUGUUGCAUCCCACAAAUUUCCAUAAGCAAAACAUACCCUCCCUUGAUAUCUUGCUGCUUCCUACAUCAUGUAGGGAUAUCUACUACACAUUUCUUAUUGUAUUAUAUGCUCACAGUUUGCAUCCUCAUGACCCCCUUACAAACUCAGAUCCAUGUAAAAAAAAAAGUUGUUUUAUUGCUCAAUGAUGAAUAAAAUUAUCUAUAAUAAAAUAUCCCUGGAAUGUUGUGGGGAUCAACACUGUCACAAAGGAAUGAACAUAUUAGCAAUUGUCUGUUCAGCUAUCUCUUGAUCAAGGUACCUCUAAUCUCGGGAGUUAAAAUGUUGGUUUACAUGUGCAUGGAAAUCAUAUAUUAGGGUCUUUCAUGCUACCCCUCAAUUUCCUGCUUGGUUGUAAAACUUAGCAUAAAAAAAUCAUUAAACAAUUUAACCAAAUAAUGUAUUUCUUCAACUAGGCAUUCUUAAUGACAUGGACCAUACCAUGAACAUAAUAGCUUACUACUGAAUUUCUUGGUAGAACAGAACAGAUUUGUCAAUAUCAAAAUAAAUAGCUUAUUCACUAAUGUGCAUUUCUGAGGUUUGCGUCUAGUCCUUUAGGCAAUCUUUAAACCCCUAGUGCCUAUUGUAAAUGACAGAGUCUAUAUUUUUAUUUGAAAAAGAUUAACUACAUAGUUUAGACAUUGGGAUGGAGUUUUAACAAAGUACUUUCUGUUUUAUUUAAAUCUCAAUAGUUGAUGUAGCCAUAAACAAUUCACUAUGGUUUAUACGAUAAGAUUAAAAGCUAGAGCCCAUUGGCUGAAUGCAUUUACCCAAAUAUAUGUGCUUUUGUCUAUGGGCAAAACCUCUCAAAUUUCAUGACAUCUUACAAGUUCAUGGCCAUUUAUAAGUCAUAUCUAAUAUUGGUGGUAGACAAGUAGCUGAUAGAACGCUAUCUCAUACAGUUACUUUCUGGGGAAAGCCAUCCAUCCCUAUGUGGGGUGUGUUACCCACAAGACUGAAAAUUGCCAGGGUAUUAUCAGCAGUUGCAUGGUUUUUGUACUCGCAAAGAAAACCUUAAAGUUUUAGAACGUCAGGUUCCCCAUCCAUAAAGUUGGCAUGUUUCUUAUUAUUUAUCCCUAAGACAUACCUUACAAAGUAUUGAGAUGACAUCUAAUCAUUUUUUUCUGAAACUAAAGAUGCAGUAUGAAUAUAAAAGUGUGCCUUGUGUGGCUAUUGCUCUCUUCCUCUUCAUUGUAAUAGGUGUCAUUUGGAUGUUUAAUUCUAAAAUAUUUUUUUCUAAAAGACCCUUUGGCAAGACUACAAGAAUACAAAUGUAUUUGUCCUAUAAAUGCCCUACAGUCAAU